This 1241-nucleotide long non-coding RNA is filed under the name Marmota monax (woodchuck). The stretch from base 791 to 858 matches the Rfam family "tRNA". Lineage: Eukaryota; Metazoa; Chordata; Mammalia; Rodentia; Sciuridae. The record is from RNAcentral.
GUGGUGUUGAAGUUUGAACCCAGUGUCUCAACAUGUGCUAGGCAAACACUCUUCCACUGACCACAACCCCAGCCCCAGAGCUGUGUAGCUCUAUAUCCCAUGAUAUGGCUUGACCACAACAUUUACUCACAUACCCAUAUAGGUCUUGGAAACUUUUUCAGUUAUUUUCCUAAGAGUGUUAAUAGUUUAUAUUUUACUUUUAAUUCCAUGAUCCGUUUUGAGGAUGUACUGAAGUUUUCUCCAAAUGGAGAAACUUAAUUUGCACAAUUUUUGUGAGUCUUAAAUUGUUUUGUUGUUGUCGAUUUGGUAUCAGGGAUGGAAUUCGAGGGUCACUCAACCACUGAGCCACAUCCCCAGCCCUAUUUUGUAUGUUAUUUAGAGACAGAGUCUCACCAAGUUGCUUAGCGCCUCACUUUUGCAGAGGCUGACUUUGAACUCGCAAACCUCCUAACUCAGCUCCCAAAUUGAGAAGUUUUUGUUACCUCUCGAUUUCCAACUACUCAGGACCAUUUGUUGAAAAAGCCAUCUAGGCAUGGUGGUGUAUACCUGUAAUCACAGCAGCUGGGGGGGUGGGGUUGAGGCAGGAGGAUCACAAGUUUGAAGCUAAUGUAGACAACUUGCAAGACCCUGUGUCAAAGUUUAGUGAAGGGCUGGGAAUGUAUGUAGCUCAGUUAUAGAGCACUUGCCUACCAUGUGUAAUUCCUGAGUUCAACCCCUAGUACCACAAAAAAAAAAAAAAAGACUAUCCUCUCCCAUUGACAUGUUUUUCCACUUCAAAAAGUCAGUUGGGGUGGUGGCUCAGUGGUAGAGUGCUUGCCUAGCAUGUGUGAGGCACUGGGUUUGAGUCUCAGCACCACAUUUAAUAAGCAAAAGUAAAGCUCUAUCAGCACCUAAAUAAAGUUUAAUUAAAAAAAAAAAAGUCAUUUGGGCGUCCGGCAAAGCGGGCAGUGAGUUCAAAGCCAGCCACAGCAAAAAAACGAGGCACUAAGCAACUAAGUGAGACCUUAUCUCUAAAUAAAAAACAAAAUAGGGCUAGGGAUAUGGCUCAGUGUUUGAGUGCCCCUGAGUUCAAUCCCUGGUAACCCCCCAAAAAAGUCAACUGAAGGACACAGCUCUGGGGCCCCUUCGUUUUGGAGAAGUCCAUCUCUGUUCUAUCCUUUAAAUAAAUAAAACUCGCUUUCUACACUUGCCUCAGCGUUUCUCAGGUGUUCAAUCUUCCCAUCAGGGAAAUGGGAUUUGGC